GACGAACGCUGGCGGCGUGCUUAACACAUGCAAGUCGAACGGAAAGGCCCUGCUUUUGUGGGGUGCUCGAGUGGCGAACGGGUGAGUAACACGUGAGUAACCUGCCCUUGACUUUGGGAUAACUUCAGGAAACUGGGGCUAAUACCGGAUAGGAGCUCCUGCUGCAUGGUGGGGGUUGGAAAGUUGCGGCGGUUGGGGAUGGACUCGCGGCUUAUCAGGUUGUUGGUGGGGUAGUGGCUUACCAAGGCUUUGACGGGUAGCCGGCCUGGGAGGGUAAACAGCCACCAGAGUCCUGCGGUACGGCGCAGACUCCAACGGUAGGCAGAAGGCGGGAAUAUUGCACAAUGGUCGGAAGCCUGAUGCAGCAACGCCGCGGUCGUGAUGUCGGCCUUCGGGUUGUAAACCGCUUUCGCCUGUUACGAAGCGUGAGUGACGGUAAUGUGUAAAGAAGCACCGGCUAACUACGUG
Molecule: ribosomal RNA, 468 nt
Filed under: uncultured bacterium
Lineage: Bacteria
Description: partial 16S ribosomal RNA
Rfam family: Bacterial small subunit ribosomal RNA
Source: RNAcentral